RNAcentral lists this ribosomal RNA (166 nucleotides) under Fuligo septica. RNAcentral's name for it is "5.8S ribosomal RNA". It matches the Rfam family "5.8S ribosomal RNA". Rfam says of the family: 5.8S ribosomal RNA (5.8S rRNA) is a component of the large subunit of the eukaryotic ribosome. It is transcribed by RNA polymerase I as part of the 45S precursor that also contains 18S and 28S rRNA. The record is from RNAcentral. Lineage: Eukaryota; Evosea; Eumycetozoa; Physariida; Physaraceae.
ACCGUUAGGCGAUGGAUUGCUUGGCCCUUGCUUGGCCCUUGCUUCGAUGAAGGGCGCAGUGAAACGCGAUAACACUUGUGACUCGCAACUUCUGUGACCAUUAUCACCCCGAACAUUUAGUGCGGCCUUGCCUUCGGGCACUGGCCCCCCUGGUUUGCCUUGUCCA